UUCAGUUACUUUUCAACAAACUGACGGAAACUGUCAAUUUUGGCUUGUAAGGCAGCUGGCAGUUUCUGACGCACUGAUGUCCGUGCUCUAAAUCAGGGUGGUUAGGAACAGCUCCGCUCCAACAGCAAAGUGCGAAGAACACCAGAGGUGCAUGCAGGGUCAAUCUGAGUGACUAAUAAGGGGUGGAGAUGUGAGCCUCAGCAGGUGCUGUAGCAGUUUCGAAAGAUAACACCAACCGAUAGACUCAACUAUCUAUGUUCUACGGCCAUGGAGAGAGAAGGAAGGAUGGAAGGAAGGAAGGAAAGAAGGAAGGAAUCACAACAGAAAUAUGGGAACAAAUAUUGAACAAAAUAAAAGAUUUUUUAACAGCA
Molecule: long non-coding RNA, 371 nt
Organism: Xiphophorus couchianus (Monterrey platyfish)
Lineage: Eukaryota; Metazoa; Chordata; Actinopteri; Cyprinodontiformes; Poeciliidae
Exons: 3
Source: RefSeq, a predicted model, not a curated record